Small nuclear RNA from Jaculus jaculus (lesser Egyptian jerboa), 142 nucleotides. RefSeq annotates it as U4 spliceosomal RNA. NCBI's taxonomy places the organism in Eukaryota, Metazoa, Chordata, Mammalia, Rodentia, Dipodidae. The record is from RefSeq and is a predicted model, not a curated record. The transcript has a single exon.
AGCUUUGCACAGUGGCAGUAUUGUAGCCAAUGAGAUUUAUCUGAGGCGCAAUUAUUGCUAAUUGAAAAAAAAUUCAUCACAGAAUUAUUGAUAGUAAAAAUGGAACCCUCAAGACAACUAGCAAUAAUAGAAAAAUCAUUUA